Molecule: ribosomal RNA, 253 nt
Filed under: uncultured bacterium
Lineage: Bacteria
Description: partial 16S ribosomal RNA
Rfam family: Bacterial small subunit ribosomal RNA
Source: RNAcentral
UACGUAGGUGGCGAACGUUAUCCGGAAUCACUGGGCGUAAAGGGUCCGCAGGUGGUCUUGAAGGUCUGGCGUGAAAUCAUCUGGCUCAACUAGAUGUCGCCGUUGGAAACCGUAAGACUAGGUUCACGCAGAGGUCGGUGGAAUUCCCGGUGUAGUGGUGGAAUGCGUAGAGAUCGGGAGGAACCCCAAAAGCGAAGGCAGCCGGCUGGGCGAUGAACGACACUGAGGGACGAAAGCGUAGGGAGCGAACAGG